Molecule: RNA transcript, 5905 nt
Organism: Cercocebus atys (sooty mangabey)
Lineage: Eukaryota; Metazoa; Chordata; Mammalia; Primates; Cercopithecidae
Gene: STYXL2
Gene name: dual specificity phosphatase 27 (putative)
Exons: 7
Source: RefSeq, a predicted model, not a curated record
AGAAGAAGCCCUGGAGAGAGGAGGUGGUUGGUUCCUGUCUCACUGGCCGGAACUUCAGCUUCGGUCAUUUCAUCUGGGUCCCUCAGCCCUUGGUGGGGAACACCCAGGCAGGUUAGAGAGGUUGGCAGGUUGUCAUGGCGACCAGCAAGGACCCAGAGGAGGAGCAGGUAGUCCCAAGUGAGGAGGACGAAGCCAACGUGAGGGCGGUGCAGGCCCACUACCUCCGGAGCCCCUCCCCUAGCCAGUGUUCGAUGGUCUCAGAUGCAGAAACUGAAAGCAUUUUCAUGGAACCCAUUCACCUCUCCUCAGCCAUUGCAGCCAAACAGAUCAUCAAUGAAGAACUCAAGCCACGGGGGGUCAGAGCAGACGCAGAGUGUCCAGGCAUGCUGGAGUCUGCUGAACAGCUGCUGGUGGAGGAUCUGUACAACCGCGUCAGGGAGAAGAUGGACGACACCAGCCUCUAUAAUACGCCCUGCGUCCUGGACCUACAGCGGGCUCUGGUUCAGGAUCGCCAAGAGGCUCCCUGGAAUGAGGUGGAUGAGGUCUGGCCCAAUGUCUUCGUAGCUGAGAAGAGUGUGGCUGUGAACAAGGGGAGGCUGAAGAGGCUGGGAAUCACCCACAUUCUGAAUGCUGCGCAUGGCACUGGCGUUUACACUGGCCCCGAAUUCUACACUGGCCUGGAGAUCCAGUACCUGGGUGUGGAGGUGGAUGAUUUUCCUGAGGUGGACAUUUCCCAGCAUUUCCGGAAGGCGGCUGAGUUCCUCGAUGAGGCGCUGCUCACUUACAGAGGGAAAGUCCUGGUCAGCAGCGAAAUGGGCAUCAGCCGGUCAGCAGUUCUAGUGGUCGCCUACCUGAUGAUCUUCCACAAUAUGGCCAUCCUGGAGGCGUUGAUGACUGUGCGUAAGAAGCGGGCCAUCUACCCCAACGACGGCUUCCUGAAGCAGCUGCGGGAGCUCAACGAGAAGCUGAUGGAGGAGAGAGAAGAGGACUACGGCAGGGAGGGGGAAGCAGCUGAGGCUGAGGAGGGCGAGGGCAUGGGGAGCACGCUCGGGGCCAGAGUGCACGCCCUGACGGUGGAGGAGGAGGACGACAGCGCCAGCCACCUGAGUGGCUCCUCCCUGGGGAAGGCCAGCCAGGCCUCCAAGCCCCUCACCCUCAUUGACAACGAGGAGGAGGAGAAACUGUACGAGGAGUGGAAGAAGGGGCAGGGCCUCCCCUCGGGCAAGGUCCCCCAGGGUGGAGGUGGCCGGCGCUCAGCCUCCUCUGGCCAGGGUGGGGAGCAGCUCGAGGACGAGGACGAGGACGAGGACGUGGAGAGAAUCAUCCAGGAGUGGCAGAGCCGAAACGAGAGGUACCAAGCAGAAGGGCACCGGAGGUGGGGAAGGGAGGAGGAAGAGGAGGAGGAGAGCGACGCUGGCUCCUCCGUAGGGAGGCGGCGGCGCACCCUGAGCGAGAGCAGUGCCUGGGAGAGCGUGAGCAGCCACGACAUCUGGGUCCUGAAGCAGCAGCUGGAGCUGAACCGGCCAGACCACAGCGGGAGGCGCCGCUCAGACUCGAUGUCCUCGGAUAGCACCUGGGACGCGUGGAACGAGAGGCUGCUGGAGAUUGAGAAGGAGGCUUCCCGGAGGUACCAUGCUAAGAGCAAGAGAGAGGAGGCGGCAGACAGGAGCUCAGAGGCAGGGAGCAGGGUGCGGGAGGAUGACGAGGAGAGCUUGGGCUCUGAGGCCAGCUCCUUCUACAAUUUCUGCAGCAGGAACAAGGACAAGCUCACUGCCCUGGAAAGAUGGAAGAUCAAGAGAAUCCAGUUUGGAUUUCACAAGAAAGACUUGGAAGCAGGAGACAGCAGCAGUGAGCCGGGUGCAGAGGAGGCAGUGGGGGAGAAGAAGAACCCCUCCGACAUCAGCCUGACAGCCUACCAGGCCUGGAAGCUGAAACACCAGAAGAAGGUGGGCAGUGAGAACAGGGAGGAGGUGGUGGAGCUCAGCAAGGGGGAGGACUCGGCCUUGGCUAAGAAGAGGCAACGGAGGCUGGAGCUGCUGGAGAGAAGCCGGCAGACGCUGGAGGAGAGCCAGUCUAUGGCAAGCUGGGAGGCGGACAGCUCCACGGCCAGCAGGAGCAUUCCCCUGUCUGCGUUCUGGUCUGCAGCCCCCUCAGUCAGUGCUGAUGGGGACACGGCAUCAGUACUGAGCACCCAGAGCCACCGCUCCCACCUGUCUCAGGCUGCAAGCAACAUAGCGGGGUGUUCAACCUCCAAUCCCAUCACACCCCUGCCUAACCUGCCAGUGGGGCCUGGAGACACCAUUUCCAUUGCCAGUAUCCAGAACUGGAUUGCCAAUGUAGUCAGCGAGACCCUUGCUCAGAAGCAAAAUGAAAUGCUGCUGUUGUCCCGCUCCCCGUCUGUUGCAAGCAUGAAGGCAGUACCAGCGGCCAGUUGCCUGGGGGAUGACCAAGUCUCCAUGCUCAGUGGACAGAGCAGCUCCUCCUUGGGUGGCUGCCUGUUGCCUCAGAGCCAGGCAAGACUCAGCUCUGACAUGCAGUCUGUGCUGUCCUGCAACACCACACUGAGCUCGCCCCCUGAAAGUUCCAGGAGCAAAGUGAGGGGGACCAGCAAGCCCAUCUACAGCCUCUUUGCUGACAAUGUGGACCUAAAGGAACUUGGCCGGAAGGAAAAGGAGAUGCAGAUGGAGCUUAGGGAGAAGAUGUCUGAGUACAAAAUGGAAAAGCUGGCCUCAGACAACAAACGCAGCUCCCUCUUCAAGAAGAAGAAGGUCAAGGAAGAUGAGGAUGAUGGUGUGGGUGAUGGGGAUGAGGACACUGACAGCGCCAUAGGGAGCUUCCGGUAUUCUUCCCGCAGUAGUUCCCAGAAACCUGAAACAGACACAUCCUCCUCCCUGGCUGUCUGUGAUCACUACGCAAGUGGCAGCAGAGUUGGCAAAGAGAUGGAUAGCAGUAUUAAUAAGUGGCUCAGUGGCCUCAGGACAGAGGAAAAACCUCCUUUCCAAAGUGACUGGUCUGGAAGUUCCAGGGGGAAGUACACCAGAUCAUCCCUGCUCAGGGAGACAGAGUCUAAAUCCUCCAGUUACAAGUUUUCCAAAUCCCAGUCAGAGGAACAGGACACCUCCUCCUACCACGAGGCAAAUGGCAACUCUAUAAGAAGCACUUCACGGUUCUCGUCUUCCUCCACCAGGGAGGGCAGAGAGAUGCACAAGUUCUCCAGGUCCACGUACAGCGAGACCUCAAGUUCCCGAGAGGAGGGCAGCCCAGAGCCCUACUUCUUUCGCCGGACCCCAGAGCCCUCAGAAAGGGAAGAGUCCCCAGAGUCACAGCAACCAAAUUGGGCCAGGUCCAGAGACUGGGAAGAUGUGGAAGAGUCAUCCAAGUCAGACUUCUCUGAAUUUGGAGCCAAGAGGAAAUUCACCCAGAGCUUUAUGAGGUCUGAAGAAGAGGGAGAGAAAGAGAGGACGGAAAACAGAGAAGAAGGGAGGUUUGCAUCUGGACGGCAGUCCCAGUAUCGAAGAAGCACUGACAGAGAGGAAGAGGAAGAAAUGGACGAUGAAGCCAUCAUUGCUGCUUGGAGACGUCGGCAAGAAGAAACCAGGACCAAGCUGCAGAGAAGGAGGGAGGACUGAGCUGGGGAAAAGCUGAGAACACUGAAAUAAACCACUCACCUUAGUAUAGGGCUCAGGGCACACAUUGCCACCACCCAUCAGGGGAUGAGGAUACAGAGAGGAUCUUCCAGAGGGGCAGAGCCAGAAUGAGAGGUACCAAGCAUAAGGGCAGCAAAGGUGGAGUAGGGAGGAGGCAAGGACGGGGAGAACCAUCAAUAUGAGGUCCGAAUGCUGGACCAACUGACACCAUUUUCUGUUGCCCAGCACCCUCUAAGCUUUGGUGUUUCACUUAGUGUAUUUGAUAGUGUUCAUCACAGACUAGAGAGGUGAGCUUGGAAAAGCACUGUAGUUUGUCAGAGACUCCAGUUUACAUCCAGAAAGGCCAUGAACAUAGGACACGCUUCUGUCUGUAGAGGUUUCACAUGAAACCCAGAAAGUCUAUCCUAUGGCAAGUCUGACCUCUCCUGGCAAUGCUCAGUUCUGAUUUUUUUUUUUUUUUAAUGUUUUGAGUCUCCAAUAAAAAUGGUAUAUUGGCAAAUAGUUCUUUAUUCUGGUCAUAUUUAGCUCUUUGUAUAUUAGAAGAAAACCACUUUAAAAGACACAAAUGUGUUAUCCUGAGCCAGUCUCACCUUGUUUCACAAAAGCUGGGCCUCCAGACAAUGCCAUCAUCAUCUCAUUAUAAAAAAUAACAAACAAUUAUUUAGCCUAUGGUACAAUACAGUAGGAGACUACACUAGGAAAACCCUUGAGAGUAACAGAGGGAACUAGAGAAAGAGAGAAUUAGUUUUAUUGUGGCGAGAAUAGCAAGAUGUAAAGUAGAGAGAAGGCCUCUCUGGAAGGCAGAAAAACAAAAACAGCAUGGGGAGAGAAGAAAAUAAACCCAGUACAAGGAAAUUAAGACAUGUUUUUAUAAAAUCUAGUAAUCACCUUUGCUUCUUAUUCCUAGGAGGAUCACUGGGUAAUGCAGUGGAUAGUACACUUGAUUCUUCCCUGUGCUCUCAGUGGGCUAAAUUGGUGAGAAUCUUUUACCUUUUGUUCCCAAGGCAUGUCUUUCCCUAAAACACAGGUUGAGUUGCCAAAUCAGGGAGACACUUUGAACACUUUACAACAGUGAUUGAUGGACUGGUUUCUACAGUUCUUUUCAAGCUGCGGCACCUUGAAGGAUUUGAAAACAACUGUGUGCUAUGCAGGGGUCUGAGAUGUCUUGAUCAAUCAAAAAAUCCAAUUCAGGAGACACAAAUGGUGAUGAAAUGAUUAAAGAGAGGGAAGAAGAGUAAGGAGUAAUCCACCAAUGAGAUAAAUAAAAAUAAAAAGAGGAACUGAUCUGAAUUACUCGAGCCCACUCCCGAGUCUCAUAAACAGUUCACUAGGAGAAAGCUCCCACAUUAUUCAGCACAGAGAAUCGUGCACUGAAAGGGGCCCUACAAGAUGAAAAUCCUGCUCAGACUCCUGAGGUGAGGGCUGGGUAAAAGAGAGGCAGAGAGAAGGAAAACAGAUUUUUUUCUUCAUCCAAAGGUAAGGCCCUGGAGGAAAUGAGAUCUGUGGGGGCUGUGAAGAAAUAAGAAAUAAAGUGUAUCAGGCAGCAUCCCAGCAGGAAACAGAAGGCAUGGCCAAAUUAGGGUGAUUCAAACGGGUCGUUUUCUAAAGAAGCUAUUCACAAAGGAGUGGACAUGGUACAGGGUACAGGAAAACACCAGGCACAGUUCACAGUCCAAAGCCAGGGGCCUCUCCUAGGCCUGGAGAGACAAGGGAGGAGCUGUUACUGGGCCCCUAGAGACACCGAGGGCUACGUGGAGGGGCUGUCUUAAGAUCUAAGACCUUGGGUCUAGAGAGCCAGCCUGAUGUGACCCCACAGGAAAGGAAGCAGAGGACUUUAGCCCCUCUUACUCCGACCUCCAUCAACCUCCCCACAGGCCAAACCCAACCAAAACCCAUAGGGAAGAGAGUUGGUGUGUGCAGUCCAUUCUGUCAGCCCCAUGGGACCCCAGGGAGAGUGGGGAGAAGGGUGGAUGUAUCCAAAAGGGCAAACAGAAGAUAUACAACAAGGGCAAAAUUUCAGGCUGGUGACAUAUUGUUGGUGCUGUGUUAUGAAGACCCUGCUUUUAGUGUCUUGAAUAUUGCCAGAAGAGGAAAUAUUGGUUUUUCUGGACUUUUAAAACUUAUUUCUUGUGUUGUUUGGGAGAAUUAUCAACCAAUGACAGUUGAAUAACUAGUAACCUGCCUUAAAGCAUGCUACAUAGAAUUGCCCUUGUGUGAAGAAUCUGGAAUAAAAAUCUACACUGUUCUUAGGCACACUA